RNAcentral lists this long non-coding RNA (17967 nucleotides) under Coffea arabica (coffee). RNAcentral's name for it is "long non-coding RNA (CARA_LNC002061)". Lineage: Eukaryota; Viridiplantae; Streptophyta; Magnoliopsida; Gentianales; Rubiaceae. The record is from RNAcentral.
CGCCGUCCUCAUCUUCAUCAUCCUCACCAUCGUCAUCAUCAUCGUCAUCACCAUCCCCGUCCUCGUCAUCGUCGUCACUAUCACCGUCCUCCUCGUCGUCAUCAUCAUCGUCUACGGACUGAACCAGUGGAGCACCAACUGUGCCGUGCAAAACCUCUCUAACGUCAUCCUCAUCUUCCUCUUCGCCGUCGUCCUCAUCUUCGUCGUCGUCGUCGUCGUUAUCGUCAUCUUCUCCGUCGACUUCCUCAACAGCCACCUCCUCUUCCCUUUCUUCCCUUGCCACCUCUUCAACUUCCCGAAUUUCCUCCGCUUCCGUCAUUUUUCCGAUGGGAAACUUCUUAUUUCCAGAAAAAUUUUAAAUUGAAAUUAGAGAAAAUUGUUGCGAAACGGAGGAGAGAGAAAGUAGAGAGGAAUAGAGGAGCUUCUUCUUCGUUGCUCAGAGUAGCUGUGCAGAAGGAUUGAUCUCGACCGUCGAAUAAGGAAUUCAAGCGGAUUGAUGAGGUGGAUGAUCAUCCAACGGUCCAGAUGAGAGCAGACAAUUUCUCGCGUGCUUGCGGCGCCUGUAUUACAUUUUCCUUGUUAUUAGCGCAUCACGUGAUCUGCGCGUGAAGGGAUCUAGGGUUUUCGGGGUUUUCGAUUCUUGUUUCAUCUCCAUGGAGAUAUUUUACUCUUUUUGCUGGCAUAUUCUUCUUUUUGACCUUUUAAAAAAAAAAAAAAAGUUUUUGACAAUCUGGGCCUCAACUUUCAAAAUCAUGGGACCAUCUUCGCCCAAAAAAGAACGGAACAAAGGUGAAAAGGGCCUAUAGGCCAUUUUGUGACUUCUUAACCCGUCAACCCGCAACUUGGGCUCUUGAUUAAAUAUUGCUGUCUGCAUAUUAAACAACUACUUGGCUUAAUGGUCAUUUUCUACCUAGUCUUGUACAACAAUACCCAAAAGGCCAAAUUUUGGGAGAUUCAAAUUGUGUCAUACCACUUGGUGAGAUGAUAUGGCACGAUUUGAAUUAUUUUUUUUUUUUUUUCAAAACGGCAACUCAUCAUUCAUUAAACUAAACCAGAGUACAAUCUUUGGAGCAACUGCUCCUACAAUCUGCCUGAACCAAAUCAAGCAACCACGCUGGGAAGUCAAACUUCCAUUCAGCUGUUUUUUCCAAAUUUAUAGCAAACUUUGCUAUAUGGUGACUAACAGAGUUGCUCUCCCUUCUAGUGAAGGAAAAGCAACAUUCAUAAAAACUGAGCUUCAGCCUUUUAAUAUCUGAAAGCACAGUUGCAAUCCCUACAUCAUCUUCUUCACUAUUUAUCCUAUCAAUAACAUACUUACAAUCAGAUUCGAACUCCACCCUCUUCCACCCUUGUUGUUUGGCCACCAGCAUUGCUGCUCUUAAUGCUAAUGCUUCCUCCAUCUUUGGGGUUGAACAACUUGAGCCCGGCACUGCCCAAGCUCCCACUACUUCCUUCUGCCAGUCCCUUGCCACCAACCCCCAUCCUGCUUUCUCCUUGUCUUGUUGAACUGCUGCAUCAGAAUUUAUUUUCACCCAUGCCUCACCUGGUUCCUGCCAUACACCUGGUUCCACCUUCCCCUCCCCUCUAACUCUGACUAAAUCUUUUUCCUCCAUCCGCACCUCCUGGAACUCUCUCCAUUCCCCAAUAGCUUUUUGGACCACUCCCAUGGGAUCCCUGGCUUUUGCUUCAAAUUGUCUCGCAUACCUUGACUUCCAUAUCUACCAUAACAAGUUCACAGUCACACCAAUACGCUCCUGUCCCAUCUUCCCCUUCACUGCAUCCUUCAGCUCCUCCCACCAAUGCCAGAAUUUAUACCUAUAUGUCUCCAGCCCCUCCUAACUAACUGGCGCCACUUCGCAGAUGGCCUUUGCAUGGUCACAAAAAAACAGCAAGUGCUCUAAAGUUUCUGUAUGUUCCCCACAACACCUGCACAUAUGAUCCCCCUUUGGGCACCUUGCCUUUACAGUUGCAUUCACAGGCAGGAUAUCUUGUAGACACUUCCAAAUGAAGUGUUUCAGCUUCUGUUUUAUAUUCAACCCCCAAAGAAAGCUCCAACUCUGAGCUGAGCAUCUCCUGUUACUGCUAGAUUCAACAUUCCUCCCAACAGGAGCCCUCCUCUUUUUAAUGCAUUUAGCCAGUUUAUAACCUGACUUAACUGUAUAUUCCCCCGUAUUUGACUUGCUCCAGUAUAAUAUAUCUUUCAUACUACAUACACUUAAAGGUAUUCUCAGUAUCUCCUUCCCUUCCUUCUCAUAAAAAACCUGUGCAAUCAGUUCCCUAUCCCACUUGCCAUUAUUUAUAAGAUCACUCACCCUCUGAACAACCACCUCCUCAGUUCUUGGAGUCUUCACUCUCCCAUCCUCUGUGUCUGGUAACAAUCUAUCUUCUCAAAUAUCAAUUGACUUGUCAUCCCCCACCCGUUUCCUGACCCCCUCCUCCAACAGUUCCCUCGCCCUCAAUAAACUUCUCCAGUACCAGGAAUCAGUACCAUGGCCUUGCAUUGCCCAAAUUGAAGUCCCUCUAAAAUACCUUGCCCUCAUGACCUUACUCAUCAGCAAAUUUGGCUUAGUUAAGAUCCUCCAGAGCUGCUUUGCCAGCAAAGCCAGAUUGAACUCCUGCAACUCCCUAAAGCCUAAACCCCCCUCACCCUUCCCCUCAGCCAACUUCUCCCAGUUCAACCAGUGAAUUCUCUGCUCCAUCUCAUUUGAACCCCACCAGAACUUUGCCAUUUCAGAACUAAUCCUCCUACACAAGUCCAUAGGUAUCAGACAGCAGGACAUCACAUAAAUGGGCAAGGCCAUGAGUACUGACUUGAUCAACACUUCUUUACCAGCCUGGCUCAACAAUUUCUCCUUCCAUCCCUUCAACCUCCCUAUUGUUUUCUGACAGAUAUACUCAAAAGUCUGCCUUUUGGAUCUCCCAAUGACUAAAGGUAGUCCCAAAUACCUACUUUGUUCAACCUGCUUCAUCCCUUGCAGUUCUCUCAUCACCCCUUCCUUAUGUCUACUCAUCACAUUCCUGCUAAAAAAUAGAGAAGAUUUCUCAAUAUUGAUCAGCUGUCCAGAGGUUUUCCUGUAUACCUCUAAGAUUCUCCUUAGCUGCUCAGCCUCCAAAACAGAUGUUCUACAGAAAAUCAGAGAGUCAUCUGCAAAAAACAAGUGAGACAGCCUAGGAGCCUUCCUUGCAAUCUUUAACCCAGACAGCUUGCCCUGCACCACAGCUUGAUUCAACAAUGAUGAGAAACCUUCAGCACAUAUCAGAAAUAGAUAAGGAGACAAAGGAUCUCCCUACCUCAAACCUCUCGUUGGCCUAAUGAAACCUCUUUUCUGACCAUUAAAGUUUAUAGCAUAAGUAACACUAGAAACACACUGCAUCACCCACUGAAUCCACUUAGGACAGAAACCCAUUUUCCCCAUAACUUUUGCCAGAAAAGUCCACUCUACUCUAUCAUAGGCCUUUGACAUAUCAAGCUUAACAGCCAUAUAGCCUUCCCUCCCAGAUCUUUUGUUUUUUAGAAAAUGAAUGCACUCAUGAGCAAUCAGGACAUUAUCCAGGAUCUGCCUACCAGGGACAAAAGCAGACUGUGCCUGACUAAUACAAAGAUUCAGAACCAACUUUAAUCUAUUGGUGAUCACCUUGGAAAUUAUUUUGUACAACACAUUACACAGGCUUAUAGGUCUGAGAUCUGCCAUAGUACUAGGGGGAACAGAUUUGGGGAUAAGACUAAUCAGAGUCUCAUUAAUGGACUUAAGAAUGAAACCAGAAACAAAGAAACUAUUGACAGCAUUACAAAUAUCAGUUUUUAAAAUUGACCAAAACUUUUGAAAGAAGAUUGGGGACAUACCAUCUGGUCCAGGGGACUUAUUUGGAUGCAUCGAAAACACAGCUUGAUUGAUCUCCUGCUCUGUAACCUUCCUGGUAAGCUCCCUGUUCAUCUCAUCAGUAAUGGUCUAUGGAAUUCAUUCUAAAAUCUCAGAGAAAACCUCAGGUUCCUCUGUCGUAUAAAUCUGCUGAAAAUAGUCCAGUAUCUCCUGGCAUGUUUCCUCCUCAUCCUUACACCACUCUCCAGACCUCUUCUGUAGCACAUCUAUUCUAUUCAUCCUCCCCCUCCUAGCCACCGAGGCAUGAAAAAAACUAGUGUUCUUAUCCUCUUCUUGCAACCACUUCACCCUAGCCUUUUGACUCCAAUAUAUCUCUUCCCUUUUAUAAGCCUCUGCCAGUUUCCUUUUUAGACUUGCCAACUUGAUCCUAUACCCAUCACCUUUACAUUCCUUAACCUCUUUGAUCUCCUGCUUCACUUUUCCUAUCAUACUCUUAGAAUUACCUCCCAUCUGCUUGCUCCAACUGAGCAAAUCCACUCUAACUUUCUUAAUUUUUGCCUGAACCAUGAACAACCUGGAUCCCUUUUGCUUACUUCCCCAAGCUCUAUCUACCACCUCAUCUAUAUCACUAUUUUGCAGUCAUCUCCUGUCAAACAUAAACCUCCUCUUCCCUUUUUUCCUAACAGGCUUAGUAUCCAACAACAAGAUACAGUGAUCAGAAGCCUCUACCUCUAUAUGUGCACAACUUGCCUUCUCAAACUUCCCUAUCCACCAUUUACUUCCCAAAAUCCUAUCUAUCAUUUCCUUCACCCCCCUCCCUGUUCCAAUUAUUGCACCAAGUCCAAGAGACUCCCUCAGCCCCAAUGUCCACCAACUCAUUUUCAUUUAUAAAAGAAUUAAAAUCUUGAAAACUCACAUUAGCUUUUUGUCUACCACCCCACUUUUCAGCAUUUGAUAUGAUGUCAUUCAAGUCUCCCAUGAUUGCCCAGGACUCCCCCCAGAUACACCUCCUCCUAGUAAUAACCUUCCACUGUUCUCUCCUAAUACUAGCAUCUGCACUAGCAUAAGCACAGAUGCACCACCAUUCAGCCCCUAUUUCACUAUCAUCUAUAAGUAAUUCUAUAGUGAAGCUGGUAAACAACACUUUUUUAACCUUUAACUCCUGUUUCCAUAGCACUGCCAAACCUCCCGCCAACCCAACUGGAUCAACCACAAAGACACUAUCAAACUGAAUCCAUUGCUUAACACUGUUCAAAAAGCUUUUUUUCUUUUUUGUUUCAGCCAAAAAGACUAGAGAUGGAGAGUGGAGUCUUACGACCUCCCUCAACUGGGGAACUGUCAAGGGGCUCCCCACACCUCGACAGUUCCACACCACAGCCCUCAUUUGACACUUGGAGCCCCAAUAAGGGUGGACUCCAACCUCUCAGCAAGUUCCAUCUCCUCACAGUUCCCACCAUCAGACUUUAUUUUCUUCAUAUUUUCCUUCCCUUCCUGACCCUCUUUCCCCUCCCAUUCCACAGUCUCCAUCUUUCUUUUUCCCUUCUCCAUCCCCCCCUCCACCUGAUUGACUUCCACUAGAGGUCUUCUCUUACUAACUUCCAGAACAAAUCUUUUCCAGGUUUUGUUUGUCCUAUCAGAACCUUUCUUUCUACCCCCCUGCUUCCCUGUCUUCCUCCUUUCCUCCAUAGCCCCCCUGUUCCCUAUCCUCUCCCUUUCAUCCCCCAACCCCUUCACGAUUUGAAUUAUUAGAUAUUUGAAAAUCGAGUCUAUCCAAAUACGAGCCUUAUCGAAAGGUUUUGCUUUCUUCCAGAUUCUAAUGACACCAAUUAAUAUGUUUGUGUGGCUAGGUUUUGGCACAAAUAUCAUCCAAAACACAACUUGUUGAGCCAUGCAAUACCUUUUUCUUUUGGGUAUGGUUUUCAUUGGCCAAAGGCAAUUGUAAUUUUUUAUGGACAAACAAUCGUGGAACUUUUAGAGGUUAUUUGAUUGUAUUUUUUAGACAGUUUUUUAAUAAGAAAUUUAGUUUAGCACUUUUAUACAAUGUGAUGUAUAAAAAGCAUAUUCAAGUGAAGCAGAAAUUUUUUUUCUUCAAAAAAAAUAGCAAUCCUAACAAAGACGUUUUUCUUUUCCUCAUUUCUCACUUGCAAGGAGUUAAUUAGGGCACGUUUGGUAUGGAGUCUCAUGGAUGGUGGUUGAGAAUGGGAAUGAUUAUAUCAGUAGCAAAGGGGGUUGUGAAAACGUUACAAGUAUACACCAUUUAGAAUUGAACCGAAAAUGUCAGUUAACAUGUGUGAGAAGUUUUCAACGUCUCCAGGAAAAAUAAAUAAAUAAAAAAACUCAAGUAUAGGAACUUGUAGCAUUUUGUAGCUCAAUUAAGGCAAAGAUUGAGAAGACACGGAACAGUCACUUAGCAGAAUAUAUUAUUGGGUCUGCAACCAAGACAUACUUUUGUAGUGCACUCCAGAGCUAAAUCAAUUUUUUCCACCUAACAAAUAUUUAAGGAUGAGAUAAAUGGAACCAAAAUUGGGGACUGACGAGGAACAUAGGAUGAGUUGGGAUUUGUUUGGAGUUUGGCAAAGACAAGAGGCCAACAACUUGAUAGGUUGGCUAGGGGAAAAAAAAACAACUUUGUAGGUAUUUAAUUAAUGAAAUAAUUUUUUUAUGCACUUAUAUUGUAGUAUUAUAUAUUUUUUUUACUAGUAAUUUUGGAUGUAUGUCACAUGUGUAUGAUUUGAAAUUUGAAUUUAAAUUCAUAUUAUGUUGCAUGAUCUAAAUCUACGAGUACAAAAAAUUAUUUUUUAAUUAAUUAGCAAUAGUAGUAUCAUACUUAGUUAUAAAGCCCGAUUCGGUUCGUGCAAUCAAACCAAUCAACUCUAUGAACCGGUUAUAGAAUCGAGUUGAGUUGCUAAGUAGAUCGAUCAAGCAAAAAAUUCAAUGAUAAGUCAAUGAUCCGAUGAUGAGAAUAAUGAAUCAAAAAAAAAAAAUCAUCAAUUGAAAUUGAACAAUUGACUUAAAAAUUUUAUUAUUUUUAUAAUUUAUAAUAUAUUAUUAUAUUAUAUAAUGUUCUUAUUGUAUAACUCAUGGUUAAAUUAUUGACUCAAUAACCCUGUCACCUCUUUGGAUCGAGAUCGAGGCUGAAUUUAACAACUAAUGGUAUUAUAAGCAAGAAGCACGUGUUUCUAGUGGUGCCUUACAGAAUCAUCAUUCAUUCUUCAUCCAUACCCUAAGGUGCAAAAUUUCCCUUCCCCCACACCCCGCUCUCUAUUUUGUUAUUUUGUUAUUGUUAUGUCUUCGUCGGUUCAACAAAAUCAUGCGCACCAAAUUAAUUUCUCCAGAAAAUUCCAUUUACAUCACCCCAAUUAAACCCAAAAAGAAAACUACUACUACUCCUACUAGUAGUAUGAUGGUAUAAAUUACUAAUUAAUUUAGUUGCAUAAAGCACUUAAUUAUGAGGGACUGAAUUUUGGAUCAUUUGUUAGUGGUGUUAGUUAGUUGCAAUUUAGCCAGGCAGCCAGCAAGCAAAGAUUGAAAGGGGGCCGCGCAUGUGUCCGGCUAGGUCUUACUGGUCAUCGGCCCUGAGUUCCAUCAGGUGGCCGGAAUUCGAGUUCUCCGUACCCGCUUCCAUCUUCAGAUGGGCUGCGGGAAUUGAUUUCUCCUACUUCACCACCGGUUGGUCCGCCUCUACCUUCCGCUGGCUGGGUUUUUCCAUAGUUGAUAACGCCAUGUGGACCGUAAUCACGGUGCUGGAGUCCGUAGCUCUGGUCACCAUGCUCUGCUAUUUCUUCAUCUUCUGCGGUUGUACUUUGUGAUUGUUUUUUUUUUUUUUUUUUUCUUGAGAUUUUGUACAGUAAUAACUCAAAGAGUAGAAUAAUAAUAAUAGGUAGCUAGCUAUUUUUAAUUAUUAGAUCAUUUCUUGUAGACGACACCCCUCUGGUGCUCAGUUGAUUACUCUUUAGUGCUUGCUAGCCUAAUACUUCAGGAAGGAAGCCAUGGGGUACGUUCAAUUCUUUUUCUUUUUCAAAUUUGUACCAACUUCUUGAUGUCGUUUCAUAGGUUGAAUUCAUUUUACAGGAGUAUUUUGCAUUUUGAUUACUAUUUUGUAUCAGCUCAUCAUAAUUGGUUGUUUCCUCUCUCUUGUGAUUGGUUUCUUUCUCGCUUGGAUCCUAAUCUUUCCUUCAGAUCAGGUUUGGUUCAUCAAUCAUCAGACAACUAAAACAAAAAAGAAGACAGGUGGCCAUGUUAAACUUUUCCUUCCUCAUUCUCAAUCGACCUGAAAACUAAGAAAACGAAGAAAUGUUUUGUUUCUGGGGUCUACCGUUCUAAACCGGACUAGUGGAGUAUCUGCUUUUCGUUCGUUUUCUGUGACUAGCUACUGGUGCCUAUCUGCCUUAUUCAAUAAUCAUUCGAGUACUGCCAGGAUCAAGGGCAUGUAUGAACCCAAUAAAUAAUUUUUUUUGUUAGAAAAAGAGGAAAACUAGAGUUGGGUACCAGGAUCAGAGGAAUGAACUGGAAGUAACAAGAUGAUUUUUCUAGGCCAGCCUUUUCACCCUUCGAGUUGCUCUGGUUGACAAGCUUAGAAUAUAUUAUACUAGUCUCUGGAGCAAUUUUCAAUCAUUUUGAUGGCCUUCUCAUCUAUUCAAUUAAUUUGUUGAUUGCUGGUGAAUCCUACGGCAUCAUUAGUGACGAGACUAGCAUGUCAAAUGUAGCAGUCGUUUUUUUUGGUUUCGGAAAAGGUUAAUGUUGAUGCCAUUAUUGUGAGUUUAACAGAAUGAAUCUUGAAUGUUCCGGGGGGAGACCACCAUUUAUUAUUGUUUACCGUUUUCCAUUAAUCAGUUCAUCAUCCUUGCAAAUGCAAAGAGCGUUAGUUAUCCGCUCUACAAGACUUUGGCGGCGAAGAAGCUCCUAAAUCUCUUCUUACUUGCCAUUGCGGGCAGCAGAGAAGGACAAAUGAUGAAGAUGAUGAUGAUGAUUCAUUCACACUUGGAACCCAACAAUCAAACAAUUCAUAGCGGACUCUUCUAGAAAUUUCACGAGUGAGGCCCAUUAGGCCCAGUACUAGGCCAUUGUCGACCGUUGGAAGCAAGCAACGCGUGGAACAGCUAAACGCCAGACGUCUCGACAAGUGUCAUUCAAAAAUACUAAAAGACCCUUUUACCCCCGCCUCCCUCCCUAUAGUCUAUCGUUACGAUUUGAAAAACAAGAGCCGUACAAUUAAUUCCUGAAUGUAGCGGAAAUGCAAGAUAAAACCUGAAAACCCCCCGGGCCGGAUUUUUAUUUUUUUUGUUUGGUUAAAAAAACCAGGAACCCAAUUUUCUCUUCUCUCUCCUGCUGCAUUUCUCUCAUAACCCUUUAUCUUUCUUGAAUAUCUGGAAGAAAAUAAACCCGUGAAAUAUUUUCUGUGUUUUCUUCAUAUUGUUGAAUCAAUUGGCUACUUGUGUAUGGAAUUUGAGACCAAUUAUUAUAGUGAUACAGAAGGAGCAGUUUUUUGGGUUCCCAAUCAAAAAGCCAUUCAUUUUCGCCGUGUGAAUCCUCCUUUAACCUGCAAUUCAGGGCUGCAUAUAAAUCCUCGUCGGCCUCCAUUUUGCCCUGGAUUUAGUCCAGUUAAUCCGCUUUUAGUUGGCUUCCUGGAGUUGGGAUUUGACCCUGAUGUCUUAAUGAAAAUGGAGGUCCAGAGGUCAAUUUCCCUGCUUCAGGUAAUAUGCCAAAUGCAAAGAAAAAAUUGAUAUCAUAAACAUCGACCUUUUUCUUUGUUGCAUUCUUUUUAAUUGUGGGCUUGGAUUUUAUUUAUGUAGUUCAUGGCUGAUGAGCGUCUGGUGCCGUCUCCUGAGGAAGAAAUCAAGAGAAGAAAUGUCAUUGCCAAGCUUAAACAGGUUCAUUUUCGUUCUAAAUUGCAGUAAAAGAGAAGCACCUCUUUCGGUGAAUCCCAUAAACACGUGUUGCAUGUCUCAUCGUUUCCGUAGUUUUCGUAAAUUGGUUAAUCUUGAUUCUGAAGUCAAAUUGCUUGAUAUUGCAAAAUUAUGAGGUGGGGUUGGUUGGGGAUAGGAAAUGACAUUACAGAACUGCGUUGCAAGGCUUGUACCAGCCAUCAUUUUCCAAGGCAAAAAUAUGAGAGAGAGAGAGAGAGAGAUCAGGAGAGAAGAUGAGAAGGAACUUCCUAGCAGACUGUAAGAGUACAGACUUUCCUGCAUUUAUUAGUUUGUGAUUGUUGAUCAGUUUAUUGAGCUUUAUAAUAGCAUUACAAGGUGGGAUGGACUAGACAUUCGGUUAACAAUGAUAACCCCCACCUAUCUAGGGUUUCAGAUAGGAUUGGAGUCCUUUCUUCUUCUUUUUUUUUCUCUGGUCUAGCAUGAACCUGUUGUAUUGCCUUCCUGGUUGAACGGCUUUGCCGAGUUACCAAUCCAUUAACAUUAGUUGUGAGCAGUCUAUUUCCUUCAGGGAGCUAAAUUGUAAAAUAUUUAGAGUUUCCUCUGGUAGUUAAUAACUGUUUGAAUGCUGCCCUGGCUGGAUGAAAAAUCUGAAAUGAAUUCUACUUAGUGCCUAAUUUGUUACAGCAUUUGAAUAUUUUUGUUUCUUUGAGGAGGUGCUAAUUUGACAUUGCACUGUGGUCAUCAUAUUGUGAUUAAAUAGAUUUUAGUUUUUUCGCAUCUUUUCUGAUUGAUGCUUGUGCAUCUGAAAUUCUUCAUAUGCAGAUAGUGAUGCACUGGGUUAAAAGGGUUGCUUACCAGUGUCAACUUCCCAAGAAUCGAGUUAGAGCUGCUUCUGCUACAAUAUUGACAUUUGGAUCUUAUGGCCUUGGAGUAAGGCUUGAUUCAUUUUCACUUACACUGCAACUAUUGCCAUCUUCUUGCUUUUGCCUGUCAGAUUACUCACCUGAGGGUACCACUAAUUUUGUUAGGUCUAGUGCAACAAUAAUUUUGUGAUCCUCAUUAUGAGUUUUUUUUUGUGAUCCCAAUAAUUUUGUGAUCCUCAUUAUGAGUUUUUUUUUCCCCCAAAAGAUGAGAUUGCAAGAUCAGUUUGUUGAUUGAAAUUUCAGUGCUAUGUUGGCAAAAUGACAUUGGGAUUGUCAACUUUUGGAAGAAGUCAUAACUGUGAAUUUAAUUUUACUGCUAACAAAUUCAUCUUUUGGGUUCGAGCUUGAAAUUGUCUUUUGAACUGCUUAAUACUAAAACUAUGCAGUUGAAAAAAAUUACUAACUUUAUCAUUUAAAUUACAUGAAUUUGAAUUGUUCAAAAUGGCAUCACUGCUGUUGCUAAAAAGAAUUGACAUUUUUUGUUGUGUUAAAUCUUCUGACUUGUUUCAAUGAAUUCAGGUCCAUAAUUCAGGUUCAGAUAUAGAUGCUUUAUGUGUAGGCCCAUAUUUUGCAACAAUGGCAGUAAGUGUUACUUCUUAGCAUUUUGUUUCAACUUAUAAUCAGUGGGAAUGUUUCAAACAUCCUCUUCUUAUGACUAGGAGGACUUUUUCGUACUUCUUCACAAUAUGCUUGCAAGCAGACCUGAAGUGACUGAGAUACACUGUAUAAAGGAUGCAAAGGUUCCUCUAAUGAAGUUUAAGUUUGAUGGGCUUUCAAUUGAUUUGCCUUUUGCACAACUUAAAGUAAUCUCUGUUCCUGAGGUGUGUGCUGUGGCCUUUAUAUCCACUCCAUGGUAACUAUUUGAGUGUUAGUGAUGACAUCUUGCAGGAUUAGUAUUCAAGUAGAACUUCAUGACAACUAAUAUCUAGUUUCACCUCUCAGCUAAAUUUUUCUUGUUUCUACUGACAGCUUUUCUUUGUUGAGCCUUAUUCUGAAAGUUCUGGGUUUAACAUGUCAUAACAUGUCUACUUAUGAAGAUUUUUACUUGUGAAAUAAUGAUGUGUAGAAUGUGGAUCUACUUAAUCCAUUUUUUUUGAGGAACAUUGAUGACACAAGUUGGAGAAGUUUGUCUGGUGUACGUGCCAAUAAAAGUAUUCUUCAGCUCGCGCCAAACGUCGAGGUAAAUAUGUAAUUUUGGCCUCUAAUUAGCACUCUAACUUGUGCACAAGAGCAACCCAUUACAUGCUUGUGCAAAUUUAUCCAAGUCACGUGCCAACUCAUAGCUGUAAGCCUCGAGUUAUUUGCGUCCUUUUCAUAUCUCUGAUGUUAUCAAAGUGAUUUGUGCAGCUAUUUCAGUCGUUGCUGCGUUGUGUUAAAUUAUGGGCAAAAAGACGAGGAGUGUAUGGAAAUGUAAGGGUUGUUUUUUUUAUAUGCUGGCUUUGCAGUUUUUGUCUAGUAUUUCUUGUCUCGGCAUCCCACCUAAUUGGAAAAUGACAUUAAUCCGGUUCAUUGCAUGCUUUGCAGUUACAUGGUUUUUUUGGAGGUGUUCAUUUUGCAGUCCUUGCAGCAUUUGUUUGUCAAAGGCAUCCAAAUGCCAGUCUGAGUCUUCUGAUCUCAAUUUUUUUUAAGACGUUUGCCUUUUGGCCUUGGCCAAGACCCGUUUUUCUGCAUGGCCGCAUGAUGCCACCGACUAUUGCCAGUGACUCCCGGUUUUUGAUGCCUAUCCAAUUACCAUGUAGCCCAAAUGAAUAUUGCCAUUCUAACAUCACACGAAGCACGUUCUUCCGGAUUAGAACCGAGUUCCUUCGCGGACAUGCCUUGACUAAGGUAUAGUGAUUCAUCUGAACUGAGAAUUGGAUGUAACCUGUUUCUGCCAUGCUUCAAUCCUUCCUGCUCUGUCAUGUUUCAAUCAUUCCUGCUCUUAUCAUAUACAUUUGUUGUCUUCUCUCUAAUUGAUAACUACUAGGUGGUAUAGUGAGCCAUCUGAAUCAGAAUUGGAUGUAACCUGUUUCUAUCAUUUUUGACUCCUUUGUGCAAUCAUCAUCUAUGCAACAGUAGUCUGCCUCUAACUGAUAUAUACUGAGUGGUGCAUGCUGAACCUUAACGUGGUUAUUUAUUCCCUUUUCCUGUCAAUUCUCAUACUGCAGGAUAUUCUAAGGCCCGAUUUCAGUUGGAGUAUCCUAUUUGAUCCUUUUCCAUAUGCAAAGAAAUAUGCUCAGUUUGUCAAAAUUUGCCUCUCAGCUUCUAAUCAAGAUGAGUUACGAGGAUGGGUGGGUUGGGUCAAAUCGCGCUUCCGCUCACUUCUUGUCAAGGUUGGUGGUUGACUGCUUAUUGGCGUUUUGUCUAUAUUUAUAUAGUAAAGUUGAACACAAGUUUAUCCUAUAUGUUGCUAAUCACAAUAUUAUGUAUCUAGUUGACAUGUAAGCUUAUCGAGUGCUACAGACUAGAGAUAUUCUCUUAUUACGUUUUGAUCCAUUCAGCUGCUUGGUGAUUAAUGUGUCUGUCAGCCUUCCUUGGAAAGCACCUAGGCAAUCAUGCCAAUUAUUUGCCAAUACUUGCUCUAAGCGAAUGGUCUGAGGGAUUCAGUUUGGCCAGUUUAUCUAUAGGUGAAGACACAGUCAACUGGCAUUCAAACUCACGUUGAAUUUUUGUAUCCCCUAACUGUUGAUUUUUACAGUCUAAGCCGUAUCUCUGAUAUGUCAUUUAUAAUUCCUAGUAAAUAAAUAAAUUUUUAUGACCUUCUUGAGAUGUUUGCAGUGCUUUUGAAUAGGCAUCUGUAGUCCUUUUAUUUCUCAUGAUAUUUAUGGAGUUUGCUGCUGCCUAGGAAUCCUGUCAGAGCUUUAAUAAGCACACUGAUUCAUCAGGUGUUGGGUAAGGAAAAAUAAAGCUUGGUGCUUUCCUUUCUUACUAAUUGUAAAAGAUCUCCUAGGAUAUAAACAAUUGCUGAAGUUCUUGUGCAUCAUCAUGCAGUAGAGUUGUGGUUUGUCUUUUUUAUUUCCGUACUUCUGUUUUCAGCAGGGGCUUUUUAGCUUGUUUUCUAUUUUGUAUCCCUAACAUGUCCACAUAAUCAUCAUGGCUUCUCCCCUGUUACCUGUUUCAAGGCUUGCUCAUGUAAUUCAGGCCUUCUCAUUGUGUGUUGGUUGUUUUCAUUUGACACGCUGCAUUUCUUGUACAGCUGGAAGAAUUACAGGGCUUUUGCGAUCCCAGCCCUUUAGAAUACGUUGAUGUUGAUCUGGCUGCACCAAAUGUUGUCUUUUAUUGGGGUUUGCAGCCCAGCAGGAGGGAUGUAAUAGACAUAGACUUUGUCGAUGAAGAUUUUAUGAAGAAUAUGAGCAAUGGUUAUCGUGUUCCUCCCGGAAGGAUGAAGCUGUCAGUUGUCAAAGCAUCUCAACUACCUAAAAGCGUCACGUGCAAUACUGGAAGUAAGGGAGUGAGGGCUCGCUGGAGGAUUUUAGAUAACAGCCAGCGAAAGAUCCCAGUUCGCACAAACUCACUACCUCAGGAGUUUGCUGGAUUGAUGGCGACCAAUGGAAGUGCAGAAUUCCCCAGUGCUGGGGUUUAGGCUGUAAGAAUGAAUAUUCAUUGUCUCAAGAUAUUAGUUCGAAGUGUGUACAGGCGUUCUACGUGUUUUUUAAGCUCACACAGCAUAGGAAAUACUGUACAUAACCUAGGGCCUAGGAGUUUACUUGAAUUUGUAUUAGCCACAGGGAUACUCUCGUCAACAUAAAAUGUUUUGUUUCUGCUCAAUUUUUCUGCUGGAAGUUUAAAAAAAAAAAAAAAAACCAAAUUGCAGGCCACCAAAUUUUCAGGACAUCUAUUCGACCCGAGUUAUCACAGUAAUAUAGUACUUAGUGCCGGAUUGCUUUUUUACCUUCUUUACCCAGCAGUCUUGAUUAAUUGGUUGAUUCUCUCGGUUUCUCUACUUUUGGUAUAUUCAUCAACAUAGAUGAUGCCUUCAGCAUUUUGGGGUUGGGGGUUGGGGGGUGAAGAAAAACAAAAUUUAUAGAUGACAGACAAUUGCGCUAAAAUGUUGCGGACCACCUAAGAAUGUAAACCGACAUUAUUAAAUACUAUAUAGAGAUUCGUCUUUUGACCAGUCUUCUGCUAAGCUGAACUGUUUGCAUAUGGCUAUAGGACAAGAAGAUCUCGAGUUCAAAACACUGCUAGUACUUCAAUUCUCAACAAGAUCUUCCAACUUUGAACUAAGAAUCAAAAUAACUAAGAAGAUAUGCAAGAAAACAUCUAAGAACUGCUUACCUUCUUUUUCAAACUCCAUUAAUGUCAAAACCACCAACUACAGUAUAUAAGAUCAAACGCCUCAAUCUUCCUGGCACAGUAUUCUCUUCCAGUCUUCCAACUACAAUUUUCUCUCAUAAACAGGAUGAGAAGUUUCACUUCUUUCAUGCUUCUUUUUCCUUAUGCGCUAGUUGUUCUAACCAUUGUUCCGCCACUAAUCUCUUGCGAUCUCAUCUCUGAAACAUGUGACCAAACCCCAAAUGAUCGCCUUUGUGUUAAAAUUCUGAGGAAAGACAAUCGGAGUCUUGAUGCAGAUGUUGCCGGUCUGGCCCUGGUCGCCGUUGAGGCAGUUAGAGACAAGGCAAACUCAACGUUGCAAAGCAUCAAGGAGCUAAAAAGGUCUAAUCUAACAUUGGCAAAUGCGCUAAUGGAAUGCCAAGAAAACUACUAUGUAAUCCUCAGAAUUGAUGUUCCAAAAGCUGUGGGAUCAAUGAGAGAAAACCCAAGACUUGCUGAACAUGGGAUGGCUGAUGCUGUUAUAGAAGCUCAGGGGUGUGAAGCAAGUUUGAACAAACUAGAGCAGUCACCACUGGCUGACGUGAACGCUGCCGUUUAUGACCUGUCUGUUGUGGCUCUGUCCAUAAUCAGGAUAAUGUUGCAUAGAAUCUAUACUGUUAAUUAGAACAUGGUUGGAUUCAAUGAAUAAAAAAAUGAUGAUUGACGUCUAAGAACUGGACAUCAAGGCUCAAGAUUUCCUCUAAUUUACCUACUCUCUCUCUCUCUCUCCGUGGAAAAUACACGAACCUUGCUGACAAAGUCUAAUGUAGCAGUGUAGGUGCUGCAGAAGAUAUUUUAUCCUCGAUCAUGGAAUCCUAUAAAACAACUCAGUUUCUCUUUCACCAUCUUCAUCGUUAUGCCCCAAAAAGGUCACAAGACAUGAAAACUCAUGGCUUGCACAGAGAAAAAAAAAGAAGAAAGGCAACAACCAGAAUCCAUCAUUCAACAACUUCUGUCUUUCUUCACUAAAGAAGCAGCAGCACAGAUGAGUAUACUGUCCAAAGCAUGGUACAGUGCUUAGUCUAUGCAUCCUAUUUUGAACAGGGAUCAUGAUGAUGACACUUCUCUUAGAAAAUCAAUAUCUCAAUCAAACUUUGAUCAAAACCACCAGCUUGCUGUGACGAUUGAAGAAGUCAGAGAAGAGUUCAUACAUCAUGGAGAUAAAUCUGGUGAUGAAUACCGUAAGAAAAAUACGUGUUCACAACUCAACCGAUGAAGUGCUGAUGUAGGCCGGAUUCAUCUUCCAUCAUUUCAAAAAAGAAAAAUAAAAAGAAGUAAUGUAAGAUAAUAUAUUGUUCAGGAAGUCAAUAAUGUAAAUGAUCUUCAUCAGAUCAUUAAUACCCCCUGCCGCAAUUGUAUCAUUUACCAUUGGUUUGUCUCUCCGGGUACCUCCUAUGCCUGCUGUCACAAUUCGUCUCUUUUCUUUUAAAAAAAAAAAAAAUCCCUUUUUUGCUUUAAUUAGUAGUAAAAUCGUUUAAUGCUUUGAAUAUUUAAUUAGAAGUAAAAUCUUUUUUAGUAUUUAUCAGCGCCCAAAUAUUACUGGGUUUUUUUAUUUUCAUCUACAUGAUGGAUUGCUGUAUAAUUUGCCUCCUGAGAUUGAAUUUAAGUCUUGGAGAUAGGUUGACGAUCGAUUUUUCAUAGGCUCCGUUGGUUUUCUUUCUUAGAUUAAGAUAGAAUAGGAUAAUAUAGUUCAUGUGACGAUAACAAAAAAAAAUUUUUCUCUAAUCAGACCGACUUAAUUUGCCUCCCGGGAUUGAAUUUAAGACUUUUCCCCUUGGAAAUAGUUUUUUUUUUUUAAUUUUAUUCGAAGGACCCUUGGAGAUAGGUUGAUGAUCAAAGUGCUAAAUUUAUUUGUAUGGAGUGUUAGAAAAACUGACACUUUGUCAUACAUACCUAUCGAAAUGUGGACGUCAGUUGCCAGCUAGAUUAUAUAGGCUAAUGAUGUGGAAAUCUAUGAUGUUGUUAUAAAAGGUUGAGGUAAUUUUCUUUCGAACUGAUGACGCAUCAUUGCCAGUUGUUGGAUUUGUUGUAAGUAAUGCCGCCUGAAAAGAAAAGGAGGAAAUUGAAGCAAAAUUACCCUGCCUACCCUUUUUUUUUUUUUUUUUUUCUUUUAAAAGUGUCCAUGAAGAGUGGAUUUCGCAGAUUAAUUCCCCUACCUCGCAACUCGCAACUUGCAGAGGCCACGAGACUCGAAUCAGGGACCAAUUCCCUUCUUCAGCAAUCCCAUGUCAGUCACUGGACCAAGCCCGGGACUUAAUAUCAUCCACAUGCCAGCAGACUGACUUUGUAUAAUAAACCGAGUCACAAAUUCUUUAUUGGCUGUGACUGGAAUGUACAAUUGAGCUAAAACCUAUGAAGGAUAGGAUCGUCUAUCUGUGUUUUGGUGAUGGGUUGCAGGUGUAAACCCACUCUUUCCUGGCUUGAUAUUCAAAAGGCAUGAACUGAUUAAGGUCCUGGAAUUAGGUUGGAAAUGUCCUGAGGACCCCAUCCCUGUUAAAAGCCCAGGUACUGUGGAAUAGGGAUUAAAAACUUCAAACCCAAUGCCGUCCCAAGGAUUAAAAGAAGAAAAGUAGUAACUGUUUUGUGUUUUCAUACCAAAAUCAUUAUAUUAUUGAUUUGCCGUAUUCUCAGAUGACGUUAAUGCUAAUUAAUCAGAGCAGCCGUUGCCCGGUCCAAUUAUAUAUUACACACACACAGAAAAGCAAAUAAUUUUUGUGACAGAUAUAACUAAAAUAUAAAUCCCUUAAUCUUUAGGCCAGAAAACGGCUGAUGGAUUACUAAUUGUUGAUUCACCAUCCAAACAAUUAUAGCGAAGCUGUCAUUUGCGCUAAAGCAACAACCUGAUUAUAGCUUCGGCCACGACAGAAAUUUCAUGAGCAGCCGUGUGUUAACAUCGGCAAGCGGGGAGGGGGACGGUUUGAAACCAUCUUCACAUUCUUGAGCCACUUUAGCGGAAUCAUUCACGCUUUCUUCGGCAAACUUUGGAUCUCCUUUAGUCAAUGCCUCAACAGCUUUAGUAACAUCAUAUUUUAUGAUAAAAUCAUACUUAAAGCUGCACUCUGC